Molecule: ribosomal RNA, 301 nt
Filed under: uncultured bacterium
Lineage: Bacteria
Description: partial 16S ribosomal RNA
Rfam family: Bacterial small subunit ribosomal RNA
Source: RNAcentral
CAGUCGCCGCGGGAAUACGAAGGGGGCUAGCGUUGUUCGGAUUUACUGGGCGUAAAGGGCGCGUAGGCGGACUGAUAAGUCAGGGGUGAAAUCCCAAGGCUCAACCUUGGAACUGCCUUUGAUACUGUUUGUCUUGAGUUCGAGAGAGGUAAGUGGAACUGCGAGUGUAGAGGUGAAAUUCGUAGAUAUUCGCAAGAACACCGGUGGCGAAGGCGGCUCACUGGCCCGGAACUGACGCUGAGGCACGAAAGCGUGGGGAGCAAACAGGAUUAGAUACCCGCGUAGUCCCUGUCUCUUAUAC